GGGAAUAUGGCUUAGUGGUAGAGCCCUUGCCUUGCACGCAUGAAACCCUGGGUUUGAUUCCCCAGUACCA
RNAcentral lists this transfer RNA (70 nucleotides) under Dipodomys ordii (Ord's kangaroo rat). It matches the Rfam family "tRNA". From Rfam's summary of the family: Transfer RNA (tRNA) molecules are approximately 80 nucleotides in length. Their secondary structure includes four short double-helical elements and three loops (D, anti-codon, and T loops). The record is from Rfam by way of RNAcentral. Lineage: Eukaryota; Metazoa; Chordata; Mammalia; Rodentia; Heteromyidae.